RNAcentral lists this long non-coding RNA (2737 nucleotides) under Equus caballus (horse). RNAcentral's name for it is "lncRNA (ENSECAG00000047382.1)". The record is from RNAcentral. Lineage: Eukaryota; Metazoa; Chordata; Mammalia; Perissodactyla; Equidae.
GCCUGGAGUCCUGGCUUCUUAUAUAAGGAGGAGCAGCCAGGAAGUGGGGCUCCUGGCUGAUGCGUGAUCCCCUAGGUGCAGGGGUUAAAUUAGGUACUGGAUUUACACACAAAAAGCCCUCCUACAGUUGUGCAAAGCUUCAUGCCCUUUCUUUCCUACUUUUUGGUGGCUAAGGCCCCUCUUGUGCAAACCAUUGUAAAUCCCCACAGAGCUGGUUUUGAGAAUUGCAGGAAGCUGACACAACUACGCUCCUCAGCCAGAAGUUUGUGUGUCUGACAUUCGAUUGCAAAUUGCGACUUUCCAGGGUUUCAUAGUUCAGGAAUAGAGCUGAGGUCAGCGAGGCUGGGAGAUUUCUCGGUCCACAGCACAGUGGGGAUCAGGAAAGAGCACUGAUGUCCCCAAGUUCUGAAUUCCUGGGUGUCAAGAUGGCUCUGGCACGCUAGGUCUCAACGCCUGCUUCUUGCUCAGUGAGCAAUGGCCCUGUGGAGAGAAGGGCAACCUGCAAACACGCAGCUUCUGGGGUGGCGAGCUCGCCUCCCUUGGGUCUGAAGGGAGCAGCUUAUCUGAGGUCUGGCCGAGAGUGAUCCGUAAGGACCUGGGCUAGGAGAUGGGGGCCAGGAGUACCCUCCACCCCCAACUGCAGAUAUAAACAAGGGGACCAUGCCUCAACCUUGACCCCCAAAUGCCUGACUGGCCGGCCCUUGUUGGACCAGGACGUGUGACUCUCAGCCGUUACCUGCUGUGUAAACGCAUGUUUCAGUCAACUUCACAGCCACUGCCCAAGCAGGGCCCUCCACUCCACCCCGACCCCAGCGUGUCUCAGCAACCCCAGGCCUCACUCAUCGUGCUGUCUUAUAAGACACAUGCGGUCCUGGCUUUGGCCUCCGCAUCAUGUCAGUGUGUGGCUGCCCUGUCCUGGGAAAAGGGACCCUGCUCUCCUUUCUGCAAUGCCAUCCAAGGGGUGGGUGAGCUUUUCUUCUAAUGCAGCUGAGAUCAGACUGACAUUUGGAAUCAGACUGUACUGGAGGCUUCGACAAACAGGUACAACACAAAGCCCUGGACAAAAGGGCAGCCAGAUGCAGAGUGUCCUACCGGAUGUGGUGGCUCUUAGGGCCGCUGGCCUGUCCUUGGGAAGCACGGGUCUCGCUGCAGAGUUCUAACUGCCAUCCUCUCUCCCCAAAAGAGAGGGCCUAUUUACUCUCCCUACACCCAGGCCUUCAAGCUGGAGAGAAGCCGGGGACUUGAAUUCACCUUUGGGACAAACUUUACUUUGUCCCCAGGCCCAGAGAGAAGAGGAAAUGCCUUUUCACCGCAGCCCGGGGCUCAGGUCCUCUCAUUUCCUGUGCUGGGAUUUGCCUUGCCUAGGACAGCUGACUGCAGGGUUAUUUGUCCAGUUCCAGAGGGGGACAGCAGCCCCACCCUCAGGAGUGGCCCGGCCCUCCGGCCCCACAGGAUGGACAUCACAGAGCCGCAGUGUGCCAGCAGCACGCGUGGCCCUUACCCGUGCAUGGAGGAUGUUGAGGUUUGGUCCUCAGCCUCAGUGAAGCUCGUGUCUUCCCAGAGCAUCUACAUUCAGGUUCCUGGUGGCUGCACAGUUCCACUCGGGGAUCACACGUGGGCAUCUGCUGCACUUAACGUGGUUUUCGCAGAAAGGGCAAAUCUGCCUUGGGGCGGAUUCAAGUAUUGACUCCUCCUUAUGGCUAUGUACUGAUUGAAGCCUUGGAGUGUAGCUUAUUCAGAGCUUAAAAAGUCUCCAGGCUCAGGGCUCAGCGAGAGCACCACGUGUUUCUGUGCUCACGUCUGUCCCCCGUUCCCCACACCCGCUAUUUUAAAGCUCUCUAUUCCCCUCAAACCUCCUACCCUACCACCUGCACCCCAUUCUUGGCAGCUGCCCUAAUGUGGGGAGAAAACAGAGCCAGCAGUCCACCCACCUCGGCUUCCCAUCAACAUUAUGUGAGUAGGAGUGGCGGCUCCUGGCCUCUCCUCCUUUUCUCCUGUCAUGCUGGAGAAGGGUCGCUGCCCUGCCAAACUCAGCCCUCCCCACAUCAGAUUGAUGGCAGUGGAAGGCAGCUUCUAAAAAGACUCUGGUUCCUUCUUGCUUGCCCUUUCUUGCUGAUUCACUUGCUCACUUUGCUGGAAGCUGGCUGCCAUGUUGUGAGCUUCCUUGUGGAGAGGCCCACGAAGAAAGGAACUGAGGGAGGCCUUGGGCCAGCAACCAGCAAGGAGCUGACUUCCUCAGUCCAACAGCCUGUGAGGAAAUAAAUCCUCCCAAGAGUCAUGUGAGUAGCUUGGAAGUGAACCCUCCCCCCCCCGUUGAGCCUUCAGAUGACUGCGGCCAACACCUUGACUGCAGCCUCAUGAGAGACCUUGAGCCGGGGGACCCAGCCGAGCCAGUCUGGAUUACGGACUCCCGGAACUGUGAAAUUAUAAAUGUUUAUUGUUUUAAACUGCUAAAUUUUGUAGUAAUUUAUUAUACAGAUAUAGAUAAAGAAUACAUUAGCUCUCAGACCUGUCAAUUUCUCAGCCCUGAAAACUCUGGAAAAACCUGUGGAUCCACAUAAGGUUGCUGCUUUUUACUUUACAAAAUAGGUCUUGAAAAAUGAGAACCAAUUUUUUUUUUAUUAAGACUAUGAUAGUUAAGAACUUUGUGAAAUUUCAGUUGUACAUCAUUAUUAGUCAUGUUGUAGGUACACCGCUUCACCCCUAGUGCCCUCCCCCCGCACCCCUUUCCCCUGGC